Molecule: ribosomal RNA, 512 nt
Filed under: Agabus ambiguus
Lineage: Eukaryota; Metazoa; Arthropoda; Insecta; Coleoptera; Dytiscidae
Description: partial 16S ribosomal RNA
Rfam family: Bacterial large subunit ribosomal RNA
Source: RNAcentral
GUCCUUUUGAGUUUAAUUUAAGGUCUGGCCUGCCCACUGGAAUUUUUUUGAAGGGCCGCAGUAAUUUGACUGUGCAAAGGUAGCAUAAUCAUUAGUUUUUUAAUUGAAAGCUUGUAUGAAGGGUUGGACGAGGUAAAUUCUGUCUCUAUUUAAUUUUAUAUAGAAUUUAAUUUUUAAGUUAAAAAGCUUAAAUUUUUUUAAAAGACGAGAAGACCCUAUAGAUCUUUAUAUUAAAAGUAUUAAUUUUAAUUAAGAAUAUUUAAUUUUUUAGUAUUUAUAAUAUUUUAUUGGGGUAAUAAAAAGAUUAAAAUAAUUCUUUUUUUAUUUUAACAUUUAUUUAUGAUUAUAUGAUCCAAUUUUAUUGAUUAAAAGAUUAAGUUACCUUAGGGAUAACAGCGUAAUUUUUUUAGAGAGUUCAUAUCGAUAAAAAAGUUUGCGACCUCGAUGUUGGAUUAAAAAUUAUCUUAGGGGCAGAAGUUUAAGAUUUUGGUCUGGUCGACCAUUAAAUUUUU